Molecule: long non-coding RNA, 1116 nt
Organism: Cornus florida
Lineage: Eukaryota; Viridiplantae; Streptophyta; Magnoliopsida; Cornales; Cornaceae
Exons: 2
Source: RefSeq, a predicted model, not a curated record
UAUUUAUAUAUGAGCAGUUGUAUUGUGUUGGUGCGUUUACCUAUAAAUAUGGCAUCUGUCUUGUGAGUUAGUAAGCAAUCAAAAAGAAAAAAUAGAGAAGUGCACAGAAAAGCCGAGACACACAGAGAGGGCCAAACUUGAUGCACAGAUGAUUUAACUCUUUUGCAGAGUAGGGAUCAUCAUACCUUGAAUGGCUUGGAUGAUUUGUUUCAAAUAUUUUAUGAUUGUUUUUUUGUUUAAAUUGCAUAUACGUAUUUUUGUUUAAAUGUAUAUGUAUAUUUUUGUGAAAUUAAUUUUGCAUGAAACUUUCUGAAAUCCUUAUUAUGAUUUUUCCUACUGUCUCACCCCCUACAGUUUCAGAUACCGAGGAUGAACUUGGAUUGCUAGUAGCGGGCUUAGGUGGAAGAGUUGGUGUUGAGGAUUAUUUAUUUAUUUUAGAGAUGUUGUAUUAUUUAUUUGAGGAAACUGAUUCUGUAUCAAUAAAAUAAUAUUUCUUUUUGAGAUCUUGGGUGUAAUACUGAUGUAUUUUGAUUUGAAUAAAUCGAGGAAUUUAUUUUAAAAAAAAAAAUUGGGGCGUUACAGAAUGGUAUCAGAGCCUGUACCCAGCCGAAAGUGUGAGUGUAGUGAUGUUAUAGCUAGACGGGUGUGAGUGGGCGAGUGUUUAGUUCUGAUUUGCUACUGCUCAUAACCUGGUGUGUAUGGGCGGGUGUCGUUCACUGAUAGCUAUUGGGAUGGUCAAUAAUUGUGAUUCGGCAUAUGGUAUUGCCUGUUUUAUUAUUAGUCUUAUUUUGUGGGCAGGUGACGGCAUCAACUAGCUACCAUAAUGGUUUCAGAGUGUGUGGGCGAGUAACUAGCACUGUCAGCUACCACAACAUUUUGCAUGUCACAGUAUCUCGCAUUGCCUGGGUUUCAGGUAUCGAGGAUGAACUUGGAUUGCUAGUAGCGGGCUUAAGUGGAAGAGUUGGUGCUGAGGAUACUUUAUUUAUUUUAGAGAUGUUGUAUUAUUUAUUUGAGGAAAUUGAUUCUGUAUCAAUAAAAUGAUAUUUCUUUUUGAGAUCCUGGGUGUAAUACUAAUGUAUUUUGAUUUAAAUAAAUCGAGGAAUUUAUUUUUUGUAA